This is a non-coding RNA of Picea glauca (white spruce), 121 nucleotides long. The record is from Rfam. Lineage: Eukaryota; Viridiplantae; Streptophyta; Pinopsida; Pinales; Pinaceae.
ACAUGGUUACAACAUAGUGUUAAUGCACAAAAUCCCAUUAGAACUUUGUAGUUAAGUGCACUCAGGCUAGAGUAGUACUAGGAUGGGUGAUCACCCGAGAAGUCCUAGUGUUUUACAUGCC